UACGGGAGGGGGCAGUCUUGUCGGAAUUACUGGGCGUAAAGGGCUCGUAGGCGGCCAACUAAGUCCGACGUGAAAUCCCUCAGCUUAACUGGGGAACUGCGUCCGAUACUGGAUGGCUUGGAUUUGGGAGAGGGAUGCGGAAUUCCAGGUGUAGCGGUGAAAUGCGUAGAUAUCUGGAGGAACACCGGUGGCGAAGGCGGCAUCCUGGACCAACAUUGACGCUGAGGAGCGAAAGCUAGGGGAGCAAACGGG
RNAcentral lists this ribosomal RNA (252 nucleotides) under uncultured bacterium. RNAcentral describes it as "partial 16S ribosomal RNA". It matches the Rfam family "Bacterial small subunit ribosomal RNA", at positions 524 to 776 of the family's 1533-position model. The record is from RNAcentral.